UACGAAGGGGGCUAGCGUUGCUCGGAAUCACUGGGCGUAAAGGGUGCGUAGGCGGCGCGGUAAGUCGGGUGUGAAAUCUUGGAGCUUAACUCCGAAACUGCAUUCGAUACUGCCGUGCUUGAGGACUGGAGAGGAGACUGGAAUUCCUGGUGUAGCGGUGAAAUGCGCAGAUAUCAGGAGGAACACCGGUGGCGAAGGCGGGUCUCUGGGCCGAUACUGACGCUGAGGAGCGAAAGCGUGGGGAGCGAACAGG
Molecule: ribosomal RNA, 253 nt
Filed under: uncultured bacterium
Lineage: Bacteria
Description: partial 16S ribosomal RNA
Rfam family: Bacterial small subunit ribosomal RNA
Source: RNAcentral